Molecule: ribosomal RNA, 254 nt
Filed under: uncultured bacterium
Lineage: Bacteria
Description: partial 16S ribosomal RNA
Rfam family: Bacterial small subunit ribosomal RNA
Source: RNAcentral
UACGGGGGGGGCAAGCGUUUGUUCGGAAUUACUGGGCGUAAAGGGUUCGUAGGUGGCCAACUAAGUCAUACGUGAAAUCCCUCAGCUUAACUGGGGAACUGCGUCUGAUACUGGUUGGCUUGAGUGCAGGAGAGGAACGCGGAAUUCCAGGUGUAGCGGUGAAAUGCGUAGAUAUCGGGAGGAACACCUGCGGCGAAGGCGGGUUGCUGGGCUGACACUGACGCUGAUGCGCGAAAGCCAGGGGAGCGAACGGG